AAAAAAAAAAAGGAAAGAAGAACUGUUGCAUUUGCCCUGCACCCAGUUUGCACAGGGUAAAUGCAAUAGUUCUUCUUUCCCUUUUUUUA
RNAcentral lists this microRNA precursor (89 nucleotides) under Pan troglodytes (chimpanzee). RNAcentral describes it as "miRNA". Lineage: Eukaryota; Metazoa; Chordata; Mammalia; Primates; Hominidae. The record is from RNAcentral.